UAUCUUAUUUCAUAUCUCUACAUGGUAUUUUUCUUUCUUAUCUUUCUUAAUUCUAUUUCUGUUUUACACCAUUUGUGUACAUGUCAUGUUCCAUUUUCUUUUCUAGUUCUAUGGAUCUAUCUGCUUUGUUUCCUUUCUACACAGAAUAUCUCACUUAUUUUCCUCCAUUUGUUCUGUAUCUGUUUAAUUUCAGUUUUGUGCAACAAACUACCUCUUCCUCUCAUUACUGUCACAUACAUCUAUUCUGAGUUAAUGGCAUUCCUGUUACUUUUAUUUCUUAUUUCUGUACCUAUUUAAUUUACUUUUUGUACAUAACAUAUUCAUUUUGUCUUAAUCCUUUUCAUUUCAGUUGUGUAUAUGACAGUCUCCUGGCCCCUCUUUCCCUCCCUCCACUAUCAAAUAAAUCUAUUUCUGUGUGUGGCUUUUCUAUUACUUUUUUUCUUAAUUCAAGGCCUCUCUCCAUCCUUCCUCUUUCUCUGUUUUCAGAAAAAUCUACUAUAUCCAUGGCAUUUCUCUUAUCUUCCUCUCAAAAUUCUAGAUCUGUCUUAUCUCCCUGUUCCUCUAUGUCUCUCUCUUUCUUCAUAUCUAUCAUCUAUGCAUGGCAUUCCUCCUUUUUCUUAAUUCUACAUCAGUUUAUUUUCAUUCAGUACAUGACAUUUUUUGUAUCCAUUUUUCUUAAUCCUGUGUCUGUUUUAUAUUAUAACAGUGCAUGACAGCUACAUCUAUCUGUCAACCCUGGAUUCUCUCUCUUUUGUCUCUCUACUAUCAGAUAAUUUAUUUGCUGUAAAUGGAAUGUAUCCUAUUUUCCUUUCUUAAUUCCAUAAAUAUUUUCUAUCUGUGAGUGCCAGUCUCUUAGUCUUGCUUCAUAUUUCUACAUGGCAGAUCUGCCUCUCUGUUAAACUCGCAUAUUCUCAUUUUCUUUGCUAUCAAAUACACCCUGUUUUGUGUAUAUUUUUUUUCCAUUUAUCCUUCUGAGUGAUGUAACUCUUUUUCUUUCUCUUAUUGUUAUUACAUCCAUACAUCUUUUAUUUCAUUUCUGUGCUCAGAAUUUCUAUUUUUUUCUUGCUUUAUUUCAUUCGUGUGCAUUCCAUUUCUCUUGUUUCUCUUUCUUCAGUAUCUGUUCGACUUCAUUUCAUGCACGAUAAGUCUGUUUCUCCAUCAAAAUCCCACAAUACUUCUGCCUUUACUAACAGAUAUAUGUAUUCUCUGUGUAAAACAUUUCUCUAUUUUUUCUUCUAAAUUCUAUAUACAUUUUACUUUACUUCAAUGCAUGACAAUUCUCUCUCUGCCCCCUUCUUUUUACUGGCAGAUGGCAGAUGAAUAAAUAUUCUGUGAAUGAUAUUUCUCUUAUUUUGUCUUCUUAAAGGUACACCUUCAUUGCUUCAUUUUGGUACAAAACAGCUGCCACUCUCUUACAAACCAACAAUACCUCCCCCUCCACGUUAUCAGAUACAUAUACUUUAUGUACUUAACAUUUCUAUUAUUUUUUCCUUCUUAAUUCUACAGCUGUGUAUUCCAUUUUUGGGCACAAUGGCUCUCUCAUUCCCUCCCUCUGCCCAAGGUCCCAUAAUAUUUAUCUUUAAAAGCAUAUAUUUAUAUUCUUUUGUGUGGAAUUUCUCUCAAUUUCCAUAUUAAACCUAUAUUCUGGGUUUGAGGUUCUCACAAUGGUGAAUAUCUUCUGGGAUGUAAUGUUAUGAAGCCCAGUCGAGUCCACUGAUGUUUCUGAGGAAUGUACUUCCCCCAUCUUCAGAGUCCAUGAGUAAACUGGACUAUAUGGUACUAGAUCCCUUCUUUCUAUGUUCAUUCUAUAUCUGUUCAAUCUAAUUUUUGUGCAUGAUCGUUCCUUCUCUACUUAAACGUCUGUACUAUCAGAUACAUCUUAUACUUUCUGCAUGCCACUUCCCUUACUUCUCCAUUUUAAUUCUAUGUCUCCUUUCAUUGCAUUGAUAUGCAUAAGAUCGCUCUUCUUAAUUUCAUUUCUGUGCAUGUUACAUAUUUCUCUCUUUAUUAUCAGUUAGGUCUAUUCCAUGUAUGGUAUUUCUCCUAAUUUCCCUUCUUAUCUAUAUUAUUUCUGUGCAUGACAUCUGUCUUUAAUUUCUCUUCUUAAUCCUGUGUUUCGUGUUUUAUGUUAUUUCUGUGUAUGGCAUUUCUUUUAUUUCCUUUUCUCAAUUCUAUGUGUUUCAUAUUAUUUCUGUGCAUGCCAUCACUCUUCUACUCCAUUUUUAACGUCAUGUUUCUUUUAUACUAUUUAUGUGCAAGUCAUCUCUCAUAUUCUUGAUUUGUAAUUGUAACUGUAUUCCAUAUUAUUUCUGUACUUUCCCUUCUUAAUUUUAUAUGUUUCUACAUUAUUUCUGUGCACAGUAUCUUAUUUAUUUUCAAUCCUUAAUUCUCCAUGUGUUUUAUUUCUUUUCUGUGCAUGACACCUUUUUUAUUUCCCUUCUUUCAUUCAUUGUAUGUUUUAUAGUAUUUCUACACAUUAUAACCCUCAUAUUUUCCUUUCUUAAUCCAUAUAUUUAUAUUAUUUCCCUGCAUAAUCUCUCUUAUUUUCCCUUCUUAAUUCUGUGUGUUUUAAUGUAAUUUCUGUGAACUAUCUCUCUUAUUUCACCUUCUUAAUUCUCUGUUGUUAUAUUAUUUAUGUGCAUGAUUUAUUUGUUAUUUCCCUAAUUAAUUCUAUGUGUUUUACAUAACCUAUACUCAUGAUCUCUUUCUUAAUUUCCCUUCUUAAUUCUACACAUCUUAUAUAUUACUUCUGUCAUACCAACUCUCUUAUUUUCCUUCCUCAGUUCUUUCUGUUUCAUGCUAUUUCUGUGCAUGACACCUCUCUUAAUUUCCUUUAUUAAUUCCAUGUGUUCUUUAUAUUCUGUUCUUAAUUCUACAGGGUUCAUAUGAUUUCCAUUCAUGUCAUCUAUCUUAUAUUUUCUUAUAAUUCUGAGCGUUUUAUAUUAUUUCUGCACAUGAUGCCCCUUCUCUCAUCUUCCCUUUUUAUUUCUGCAUGUUUUACACUACUUCCAUGCCCUCCUUUCUUCUCCAUUCUAUAUGUGUGCAUGUUAUCUCUCCUAUUUCCUCUUCUCAAUUCCAUAUGUUUUAUCAGUUCUGUGCAUGAAAUGUCUUACAAUGCCUCGUUAAUUCUGCGAAUAUUUUAUACUAUUCCUAUUUAUGAUCUAUUAUAUUUUCCCUCCUUAAUUCUGUAUGCGUUUUAUGCUACUUCUGUGCAUGAUAUCUUUUGUAUUUUCUCUUUUCCAAUCUAUAUGAGAUUUAUAUUGUUUCCAUGCAUUCUUUACUUUCUCUACUUAAUUCUGUGGGGAUCUUAUUUUAUUUCACUGUAUCUCUUAUUUUCCCCAUUAAUGGUCGUUUAUAUUAUUUAUGUACAUGUGUCUUGUUUUUCCUCCUUAAUUAUGUAGGUUUUACAUUAUUUCUGUGCAUAUUUCUCUUACUCCAUAAUUAUGUGUUUAUAUUACUUCCGUGCAUGUCAUUUUCAAUUCUGAAUUCUAUGCUUUAUAUUAUUUCUAUGCAUGAUAUCUCUUGUUAUUUUCCUUUCUUAUAUCUGCAUUUAUCUAUUUAUUAUUUGUGACAGUGAUAUCCCUUAUUUUGCUUAAUUCUAUAUUUUUAUAUUACAGUGUGUCCACAAAGUUCCUUCGGGGUUUUGAAAAAUCGUGGCGCACAAACAAAUUGAGCUAGCAAUAUUCGGUUUGCGGUAGAUUAUAGUGAAACUCUGGAAGUAUUUUACUGACCUCAGUAGACCUCAAUGUGGGCUCCCUUGGUAGCAUGGAGAACGUCCAGACAAUAUUCGAGCUCUUGCCAUGUUCUGUGGAGCAUGUCCGCUGGAAUAGUCGAGAUCGCAUUCUUGAUACAGGUCUUCAGGUCGUCAAGUCUGUUAUCUGGUAUUCGGAACACACUGUUCUUGGCAUAAACCCACAGGAAAAGAUCCAGUGGUGUUAUGUCUGGCGAAUGUGGUGGCCUAGGCAUUGAACCGUCUCUGCCGAUCCAUCUUCCUGGAAAUGUCCUGUCUAGGAAUGCGGAUUUUUUUCACUAUGAUCUGCCGUAAACCAAAUGUAGCUAGCUCAAUUUGCUUGCACGCCACAAUUUUUCAAAACCCCAAUAGAACAUUGUGGACAUACUGUAUUUCUAUAAAUACCUCUCUUACUUUCUUCUCUUAAUUUUAUGUUUUACUUCAUUUACUUUUCCUUCUUAAUUCUGUGUGUUUUAUAUUAUAUCCAUAGAUAUCUCUGUUGUUUUCCCUUCUUUUCUGCAUCUUUUAUGUUAUUUCUGUACAUCUCUCUUAUUUUUCCCCUCAUAUUUUCUUUCAGUAUUUCUGUGCAUGACAAACAUCUCUCUCUUUAUUUUCAGAUACAUACGUUCUGUCUUAUACUUCCUUUUUGAUCCUGUAUAUUUCAUUUAAUUUCUGUGCAUGCCAUUUCUUACAGUCUUCCUUCUAUACCAUUUAAUUCUGUGCAUAAUACCCACUCUAUAUACAUAUUCUGUGCCAAAAUGUUUACUCUGUGCAACACUGUGUAUGCUGCAAUUUAUUUGCCAUUUUCAUCCUACAACCCUAACAGGUUUGUUACAGACAUUUUUACAUUUGGUGUACCCGUCAUAACAACCAAUAUAUCUGUUUUGUAUGAUACAUCUGCAUGCAAACGCAUCUUUUGAUCUCCAAUCUUGAAUGUUUUCACAUAUCACGAAAUAAGUUACCCGUAUUCACAUUCAGUUUCAAUCUUUUAGGUUGUUCAUGUAAAUGUUGUAUCCCUCUCCCUCCACUUAAUUGUCUAGAACAUACUAAUUCUGUAUUCUUCGAUUUCUAUUAACAUUUUUUCACUUACUCUGCACCAAUAAUCUGUUCCAUAUUAUACAUUUCUGUACAUUUUUCUUUCCUCCUGCUCAAUGUGUAACAUGAAAUGACUUUUGUCUCAUUCUGGAACAUCUUUAUUUUCAAUCCCUGUCUAACAUCUGUUGCAUGUGGUCUCACACUUUCAUUUUAUUCUUUGUCAAAUCUACAUGUUUUCUAACUUUUCUUACACUUUUCCUUAACCCAUUCUUCUUUCUGUACAUUAAAUUGGUUUCGUCUACAGCAAUUUUUAUGUAUGGUCUCCAUCACACCCUCUCUUUUAUCCCUUAAUGUCAUAAACAUCCCUAGCAUAUGAUCUCUCUUUUGCAUUAUUUUAAAUCCUGCAGUUGACUUGAGAAUUCACUACAUAUAUACGAGUAUAAUUACCAUUCCCCCAUACUCUUUUAUUCUUUAAAUGAAAAACAUUUCUCAUGUUUAUUUGGUCUCUGUACACUCUGUCAAUUUUCCUCAACUUGCUACAUUUACUUUGUGCUACUAUUUGUACUCUGUAAUCUACACAGAGUCACUGGAACUAUAAAUUAGGUUGGAGUGAACCAGGUAAUUAAUAAUGGAUUAUAGGCUGUAAACUCCUUCUACGUCUCAUUUACUGGCAUUGUACAGGCCAAGCCAGUGAAUGCGUAUAUUUCUCUUACACUCUACUUAUCUGAUAAUGCUAGCUGACACAUCUGUAUCUGCAUCAUUCUCACUUCCCUCCUUUUUCUUUUCUCUCAUUCUUCCACUCCCUCCUCUUUCUACAUUCCAUGUAUUCUGAAAGAUGUCUUCAUUAUGUAAUCUUACCCACUCUAUUCAUAUUAUAUAUUUACAGAUAUAUAUACAAAUGAUCUUUGUCGUCCUCAUUCAAUUCUCCAGAAUAUGUUUUUAUGUUAAAAGCUGUCUGCAUAUUUUAUAUCAUUCAGCUCUCUGAAAGAUAUAAACUCUUUUCUUUUGGUCAAAUUACCUUCAACAAUUAAUUCUUUUACUAUAACCUCACUUUAGUUACUGUGUACUUUUGCUGUUAUUUAAUCUACAAACUUUAAGCUUAACCUUUGCCUGUACUACCUUCAUAUACUCUGAAAUGUCUCUUAUAUGCAGUCCUCAUUAUAAAUUCAUUAACUGUUUUUUUCUUCAGUUUCAAUAUACUUGUUCUCUUGUCAUUUCCUAUACCUCUCAUUCUCACUGUCAGAAAUAUAUUUAGUGUGCACUACAUAUUCCAUAAUCCCUGCCUCUCUCUCUCUCUCUCACUUCCUGUCAGUCUCUCUUGUGGUUACUUCAGCUCUACAUUACCUCAAAUCUAUCAGCCUCCCUUGCUCCAUAGCCUUCUGUCUUUGUCACUCCAGUCCUCUCACCUCUUUUCACCUUUCUCCUAUAUCCAAAUACGUGGUACUGCUAUCAGUGUCUGUUCACAUUAUCUAUUCACUUUUAAUCUUCACACUUUAUUCCCUGUUUCAGCCUUCCUGUUAUGCCAUGUCAUUAAUCUGUUCCCUUUCUUCAUUUUACCUAUUGACCCUCUUUUCUAUUUCUCUUUAACAUAUAUCUGUCUGUAAAGUGACGACAGGGCAGCUGACUGGUCAAGACAUAUGUCCUAGGCAUUAGAUAAAAUAAAGGAAUACUAGAUGAAACUCUCUUACUGAAUGUCUAGGUAUCCAGAUUACAUAUGGCACACAGAAGGCUAACUGCAUACUAAACCUGCUAUGUAACAUCUAAACAAUUCAAAUUUAACAUCAUUGUUUCUUUGUCCUCUUCUGCCUUCUUUAUGUUUUUCAUUGUUUUCAAUUCUGUAUCAGAUUUUCAGCCCUAUCCCUCUCUCUCUCUCUCUCUCUGUCUCUUGCUGUAUCUGUUUUCAUCUGUUUUUGUCACUUUCUCUUUCAAUAUGUCUUUCUGUAUGUUUAUUUCUAUGUUUCUUCCUUUUAUCUAUUAUUUUCUGUUUCCUAUAAUCUCCACAUUUACAGUAGCUUCAUAUGUAUUUCCACCCACCCUUCUGUACAUUUGUCUUAUGUAAAUAUCAAUCCUGUCUUUUUCUGACUUUCCACAUCUUUCUAAUAUACAUCUUGUCUCUUGAAUAUAUUUCUGUCUCUACUUCUGUAUUUCUUUCAUAGGUUCUUUCUGCAAACUAGUUCUGUGUAUUAAAUCUUUCUUGUAGUUGUUUCCCUGCCUAUUGUUAACUUCCCCUGUCUUUUUUUCUGUCUUUGCCAAUUUGUCUCAUAUAUAUUCCAUCUCUGUCUGUCUCUGGGUCUUCAGCUCCUAGUUCUUUUGUCUCUGUAGUAAUAUCUCUGGGUUUCUUAUAUCCCUGUUUCCUGUAUCAUCCUUCCAUACUUUGUCACUUUACGCUGCUUAUAGGUUAUUGUUAAUGGUACUGCCAAAAUCUUGAUCCGAGAGGAUGUUAAACAUAUGGCAAAUGUAUUUUCCUUCACAACACUCUCCUUUUAUAAGCACACAUACUCUUACAUUCUCACCAGUUUUCAUUAGUAACUGUUUGUAAUUAAUUUGAUGUGAUGCAGUCAGCUGUGUUAUUUUCUGAGUAUUACAGGAAAAUGUUGUGUUUGUCUCACAGAUGUUUUUUCUUCUUGGUAUUUGGAGGUCCCUCAGUUUGCAAGACCACAAGCCAUAGCAUACAUAGCUUACAAAUAGACCCAGUACUGCUUGUAGCAACAUAAUUUCUAUGAUAUGAGGUUCUCAAAGCAGUAAAUAUUAAGAAAAGAGUUUCCUAGAAUGCGUUGACAUGGAGUAUGGUAGACAUUUAACAGUGUUUCAGAGGAAUCUGGUGACUCCAUCAUCAGGGUAGAAGACAGAGGCAGCAGUCUCCUCUGAAACACUGGUACCUAUCUACAAAACUAGAAGGCACCACUUGCCAGAAGAUAAUAAUCUUGUCAAUAUAAUUCCUUCUUGGGUGGAAAGAAUUAGACUCACUGAACAUAUGACAUACACAUUAUAUCAAUGAACUUGUUCAUCAUAAUCUUAAAUUGUAAAUGGGAUUAUUGAUUUAUAACAUGUCUGCUUGAAAAAUAAUCAAUUAAAGUCACUUAUUGGAGUUGAAAACAUUUAAACUUUGUUAUCACUUCAACAGACUAUAAGCACUAAACUAAAUAAUGAAAUUCAUGGCUGUGAGCACAACUUUCAUUGUCUUUCAUUUUAUUACUAAGAUGACUCCACUGCCAUGGAAGGAGAAAACAAUACAGAAAAUCAUAUGUAGCUUCUAGUAAUAAUAUCAAAAUGUAAGGAAGAAGAUGGCAAGAAUAAGGAAGAUGAAUUAUUAUAUGUCUUUAAAAAACUUCUCAAUGUGCUGGAAGAAUUGUUACUGUAUGUCACUGCUCUACAACAUUUCCCACAAGUUCUGGGAGAUAAAGAAAACAAAUAUAAUAGCUGAUAUCAAAAAGGUGCCAAGUUCAAUGAUGAAUUUGUGGAAACACACCAGCAUGUUAAAUAUGAAAUGGAGUUGUAAUGUCAGUAUUUGAUGUCCUUGCAAAUGAUAUCUUAUGGCAGGAGGAAGCAUCAUGGAACUGAAAAGUACUUCAUGGUACUAUGGGCUAAGAUGACAUGCUUGAUAACUUAACCCAUGAUGUCACCAAGGACGUGGAAAAGCAAUUUUUCUUACAUAUCUAACUUGAAGAAUGAGAGAAAACCAGUCAUAAUAUAUACUUACAAUUCAACAAAUCCGCUGACAGAUUAAAGAAAGCCUUAGAGCCACCACCAAGAUCAAGCAUGUGGAUACCUAUGGAGCAAUAAGGAAGACCUCCCUCCAUGGACACAAAGAAGAACGGUGCUUUUUCCAUCCAUGAUUAAGAGUUUCACCAUUAUUUAUUGUUCAUUUGAAUACCAUAUCUUAAUUUUAGAGAUGUAAAGAAUUGCAAAAUGCAUGAGAAACUACUAGCAGCUAUUACACAGAUCAUGAGUCGAUUUUAAAGGGUUCUGACGAUGGUGUAUAACACCCAGAAUUACUGGGUUUAUGGGCUUUUUCCAUCGCCUGCUAUUCUAGAGACUAGAAAACAUGGCGCUUCAGAAACUGCAUCUGUUUCUGUCCUCAGGUGAGGGGGAAAGACACCUACUCAGUGGGGUCCCUUAGAAAGAGCUAACCAGCUCAACAUUUCUACGACAAUUUUCAGUGAAUUAAUACCUUAUCCACAAGGAAGUGAAAUGAGAGAAAAAAAACAAGAGAAGUAAAAUAUUAAUUUUUCAUCACAUCAAUUCAAUUUCAAUUCCUGUUAUUUUAAAGGGGAAAGAAAUUCUAAAAGAAAGCAAUAAUCACACACUCAUAAAAUUACUUAAUGUAUGUUCUGUAACACAUAUAAAUAAGGAAAAAGGUGAUUUUUCUCAGCUGAAUAUGAGUGUUACAUUGCCACAGAAUAAACUAAAUACAGAGCUCUCCAGUUAUGCGUUCUGAAGCUCCUGUUGCAGUGACUAUCAAGAUUCCAGUCUUUUGGGUUGUGACACUGUGUAGUUCAGUAGACAUGUAUUGAUCGCUCCUUUUCUUGGAUUUAAUCAUAAGCCCAGUAAAGAUGUAUAGCUGAUGUGAAACUGAUUGGCACUUCACCAUACAUGUUUGUGGGGCUUGAGUCACUGCACCACCACAAACAGAAAAGAUUACUCAUCUUUUGUGAGAAAAUUGUACUUGAUGGGAUGGUUUCCUGACGUCAUCAAUGACCAUUUAAUUGAUUCAUAAGCACCAACUAUUUCAUGUCAAGUAUGCAAAGUUAAUUCACUGGGUAUGCCGAAGAUGUUGAUGUACUGUCUGCUGAUAGCAAGUUUUUAUUCUUCUAUUUUAUGAUUUCAAAAACAAAACAUGUUCCAAUUCCUCAGCAUUAAUUAGUAAUGAGUUUUGAAAGCCAUCAUUUUAUAGCGUACCUUCAGAUUUUUAAUAUUUCAUAUUUAUUUCAGGGAUACCUUGUGUCUCUUUCUAUUACCUAGGACUAUUGUGGUCACUGUUUAAUUUUUUCUCCCCAUUUUGUACACACAACUUUUCCACCAUUAAACAUCCAUCUAAAGAAUUCUUUGUCUUUGUUUAGCUUUAGUUCAGAAGUUGCUGCUUGGUCUGUUGAUGUGCGUGUGCCCUAUAGAAUACAUGAUCAUUCUUUACAUUUCAUAAAAAAAGAGCUUAUUACUGUGCCAAGUUAAAAAAAAACAUUCUAUAGGAAUAUUUUAUUUAAUGAAUUAAGAAUUCAAAUAUAACAAAUAUGUAAAUAUCAUUUCACAUACAUUUUUGUACCCCAUGUUUUUAUUUACUUCUUUUAUUUCUUACCUCCUAAAACUGUCCUUAUACUAGUCUCCUACCAAAGUUCAUGCUAAUUUUAUAAAUGUCACUAUGAUUAUGACAAACAUUCAUGCCAAAAGGAUUAUAAGAAAGCAUAUAAAAAUAUUAUAAAGCAACAACUUGACAUCAUCUUAUUAGGAAAACAACCAUAAGCUCUGUGAUCACUUGUUCAAAUGAAAUUUAAGCAUGUGUAAUACCAAUUUCUUUUCUACUUCACUCUGCAACGUAUAACUUUGUUCAUCACCAAAAUAGUUGUGAUAAAACUGUUUGUAAUUUCUAAUGUAAAUUACUGAUGUUCAUAUAUUUGUUCAUUUAAUAGUGUAAAAUUCUGUAAAAUCAGUUUCAUUUAUGAGUACGUAUUACAAAAACUAGUUUUGAAAACAUGUUAAUAAAAUUCUGAUUCAAAAUGCA
Molecule: long non-coding RNA, 10481 nt
Organism: Cryptotermes secundus
Lineage: Eukaryota; Metazoa; Arthropoda; Insecta; Blattodea; Kalotermitidae
Exons: 2
Source: RefSeq, a predicted model, not a curated record